GGCACCUGUGUCUCUCAACCUGCCACUGCUAGGUUGGCCUGGCUCCCUUGUGCUCUCCACAUGUGGCCCCGCAUGGCAUGGUGUACCUCCUGUCUCUGGGGCUUGUUGACCAGCCAGCAUUGAGUCACCGUAAUCUUCUAGGUCAGACAGGAAAAGAAUUGACGUCGUUACAAAAUACCACUGCGUAAGUGUCUUUGAGAAAAUGGCAGCCAAGUGUACACAGUUGGGCAAUGAGAGGUGAUGGGCAACAGUCCCUGAGCAGCCCUUCCCAAAUUAAGUUAAAAGGAGGGAAAACUUGAGAUGAUUAACUGAGGAUGGAGAAGUAGAAGACCAUAUUAAUCUAAAUGGCGCAAGGCCCAUCACGGUGUAUACAAGCAAAUCCAGGACCAACUUUAGCCCACAAGGGCAAAUAUGGAAGACAAGUCAAAUCUCAAGGUCCGUUCUUUGGAAGUGACUGUGCAAUACUUCAUCUCUAACGUGUUGCUUCCUGUCCUGCCACCAUCAGUCCUCAUCCUUUACCUCUGCAAGUUACACCGAAGUUCUUCAGGUGGUAGCUGAUGAGAGCAGUAACAGCUGCCCAGCUGGGGAUGAAGACACAAGAGCCUACUGCAGAACCACAGCUUCUCAGACCUUUGUACGUGCACAAGCCCUCUGUCUCACCUCCAAGAGAAAGCCAUCCAUCCCCUGUGGGAAUAUUUCUCCCGGGGUAACAACUUUACUAGGAAACUCAGCUAAGAGGCACAUUAACUGUCCAGCAGCCUAUUGGGAAGAGUGGUGGAGGGGGCGAUGUUAACUCAGGAGGAGAUCGUGUGUGUGGACCAGGAGAAAUACAGCCUUUCAUGACAUUGAGCAUUGUGAGAAGAGUGAGAACAUGUUUUCAGAUCAUCAGAAAUGAUUACCAAUUGAAAAGAACGCAGUGUUGCCUUUGCCAUAAUGAGAGGGGCUGAGAGGGCAGCUACAGCAAGGAUGUGGAGAGAAGGAGGGACAGUGAGUCUCCAGCAGCAGGGAGAACAGGGGCCACCCAGACCAGGAGACAGCAUCUAGAGGACUGGGGACAGUGGGCUAUUGCUCUGGCAUCUUCAUUUUCUGUUCCCUUCCACCCACUAGGCAGCCUUUGAAUUUUGAUUUAGCUUCCCUAGUAGACUUUCCUCCUGAAAAGACACAGUUCCCCUUAGAAAAAAAUGCAUGGCCUUUCUGUCUCAGACCAGUUUCAUUUGUUUGCACAGUAUAAGCCAGAUUUCCCCUAGAACCUGAUUAUCCUGGGUAAGCUGAAAAGCCAAAGUGAUAUGACCAGAGCUUGGCAACUCUUCAGAUAUGAGGGGUAAACGUUGAAGAAAGAGUCAAAGAUAACAUCAAAUUUCUAAGCCAGAGUUCCCAGAAGGAUGAUCUACCGCAUACAGAAUAGGAAAAGGUAGAAUCUAUCAAAGUAUUGACCUUCAGGCCUUCCCUCACCACCAACCCUCUAUCUUAAUAUCUUGCGGUGGAGGGUCUGUUGGAAAUAGUCUGUAAUUUCAGGGGCCAUAUUUCACUUCCACAUUCAUUUAAUAAUAAUUAUGUAUUAGGUGCUUACCACGUGCAGGACACUGAAAUGGAUGUUAUGAGAUUGUACAAGGAUGAAAGACUUAGCAUAUCAUCCAAGAAGCACAUUAGAGUUGCGUAGGGAAUAUAAGGCACAUGUAUAAGUAAUGGAAAAUGCAAAUGUAUUUGAUGCUGUCAGCUACAAAUAAGAGAAAAUUCCAACUUUUAAUUUGAUUCAAAG
Long non-coding RNA from Equus asinus (donkey), 1759 nucleotides. NCBI's taxonomy places the organism in Eukaryota, Metazoa, Chordata, Mammalia, Perissodactyla, Equidae. The record is from Ensembl.